UACGUAGGUGGCAAGCGUUAUCCGGAAUUAUUGGGCGUAAAGGGCAAGUAGGCGGUUCUCAAAGUUGGGCGUGACAUCUCCCGGCUCAACCGGGAGGGUGCGUUCAAAACUAGAGGACUAGAGGGCAGGAGAGGGAAGUGGAAUUCCUAGUGUAGCGGUGGAAUGCUCAGAUAUUAGGAAGAACACCAGUGGCGAAGGCGGCUUCCUGGCCUGUACCUGACGCUGAGAGGCGAAAGCUAGGGUAGCAAACGGGCUUAGAUACCCGGGUAGUCCCUGAGCGGG
This 282-nucleotide ribosomal RNA is filed under the name uncultured prokaryote. Its description in RNAcentral is "partial 16S ribosomal RNA". It matches the Rfam family "Bacterial small subunit ribosomal RNA", at positions 524 to 803 of the family's 1533-position model. The record is from RNAcentral.